CUUGAUGGCCAUAUCACCCUGACCAUACCUGAUCAUCUCUGAUCUUGGAAGCUAAGCAGGGCUAGGUUUGGUCAGUACCUGGAUAGGAGAACAAAGUUUCCCCUGAAUUUUCCAUGCUCCCAGGA
This 125-nucleotide ribosomal RNA is filed under the name Jaculus jaculus (lesser Egyptian jerboa). Lineage: Eukaryota; Metazoa; Chordata; Mammalia; Rodentia; Dipodidae. The record is from RNAcentral.